Molecule: long non-coding RNA, 358 nt
Filed under: Mytilus galloprovincialis (Mediterranean mussel)
Lineage: Eukaryota; Metazoa; Mollusca; Bivalvia; Mytilida; Mytilidae
Source: RNAcentral
CUUUUUUAAUACGUUAUAUUAAAUUGAUAUGGUUAGUUUAUUAUGAUGCGUUUUUAUGAUUUAUCAUAUUUAUUUAUUUUUGAUAUUUGCAUUGUAUGUGAAACCUGCCUGAAUUUUUUGUCAUUGUUUAAAUAUUCAGUGUUGAUCGUUUACCUGUACCCACGAAGAUUGGUAUCCAAUGAACAAUAGUGAAUCCACAGUAUAUCUGAACUCUUGUAUGUUGACAUACAAAGACUGUUUUAAUAUUUUAAUAUUUGUUAUAUAAACUGUGUAAACUGGACAUUUGUCUAGUAGUGGGGACAAGCAAUUAGAUUUGAAAAUGUUUUCUGUAGACAGGUUUCAUCAUAUAUCAUUGUUG